UACGUAGGGUGCAAGCGUUAAUCGGAAUUACUGGGCGUAAAGCGUGCGCAGGCGGUUGGGCAAGACAGAUGUGAAAUCCCCGGGCUCAACCUGGGAAUUGCAUUUGUGACUGCACGGCUAGAGUGUGGCAGAGGGGGGUAGAAUUCCACGUGUAGCAGUGAAAUGCGUAGAGAUGUGGAGGAAUACCGAUGGCGAAGGCAGCCCCCUGGGAUAACACUGACGCUCAUGCACGAAAGCGUGGGGAGCAAACAGG
RNAcentral lists this ribosomal RNA (253 nucleotides) under uncultured bacterium. Its description in RNAcentral is "partial 16S ribosomal RNA". It matches the Rfam family "Bacterial small subunit ribosomal RNA", at positions 524 to 776 of the family's 1533-position model. The record is from RNAcentral.